Piliocolobus tephrosceles (Ugandan red Colobus) is the source of this 504-nucleotide long non-coding RNA. RefSeq lists it as uncharacterized. The transcript has 3 exons. The record is from RefSeq and is a predicted model, not a curated record. NCBI's taxonomy places the organism in Eukaryota, Metazoa, Chordata, Mammalia, Primates, Cercopithecidae.
AUGUCUAUUUGACUAAAUAAAAUCAAGUUAUUCAAUGGGAGUUACUACCUAUGAAAAAAGUACAACAGGAAUGUAAAAAAUGUGAGGAGGAUAAAAAUAUGUUGGAAGAAGAAAUAUUAAAUCUUAAGAAGCAUAUGGAAAGAACGCACAGACAAAUUGGUGAUGUACAAAAUUAUAAAUUGGAUCUAGAAGAAAAGGCAAUGCAGGCAAUAGAAAAAUUAGUAUAAAUCCCUUUACAGGUUUGUAAAAUCAGAGUAAUUAUUCUCACUGUGGAGUCAUUUGAUUAAUAAGACCCAUUGGCGUAAGAUUACUUCCUCUGACUAUAAAAAUCCUGGAAGAAAAACUAGGAAAUAUUCUUCUGGACAUUGCACUUGGCAAUGAAUUUGUGGCAUGAGAAACUAUCAAGGGAUUGAACAGACAGCCUACAGAAUGAAGUAAAAUAUCCACACAUUAUGCACCUAUAAUCCCAGCUACUCAGGAGGCUGAGUCAGGAGAAUCAUUGGA